UAUGUGUUGGCAGAAAAUUGUGUUUGCUUUAGGAGCUUUUUAUGUGGUGUUUCCACACGCAUGA
This 64-nucleotide transfer RNA is filed under the name Gononemertes parasita. Its description in RNAcentral is "tRNA-Leu". The record is from RNAcentral. Lineage: Eukaryota; Metazoa; Nemertea; Enopla; Monostilifera; Prosorhochmidae.